GGCUGGUCCGAGUGCGGUGGCGUUUACAACUAAUGGAUCACAACCAGUUACAGAUUUCUUUGUUCCUUCUCCACUCCCACUGCUUCACUUGACUAGCCUUUA
RNAcentral lists this Y RNA (102 nucleotides) under Sapajus apella (tufted capuchin). RNAcentral's name for it is "Cebus apella (Tufted capuchin) Y RNA". It matches the Rfam family "Y RNA". Rfam says of the family: Y RNAs are components of the Ro ribonucleoprotein particle (Ro RNP), in association with Ro60 and La proteins. Lineage: Eukaryota; Metazoa; Chordata; Mammalia; Primates; Cebidae. The record is from Rfam by way of RNAcentral. RNAcentral also lists the same sequence under 1 other name.